UAUCCCGUCAGUCAAUAAUGGUUGAUAGGAGUAAUAUUAAUGCCAUCCACACUGCCAGUGUUCUUACAGCACACUGGCUAAAAGGAAGAAAUAGCCAGAACAAGCACAAUGUCUACAACCACAGGGACUUUAUAGUAAUUCAAAGGAGGAGUCUGUCAUUUCAUUUUCUCAUAUGGCCACUGGAUGAAAUGGACAAACAUUCAAGUCUCAUGCAAAACCACAAACCUAUUUCCAGUCCAUGAACACUCAGUCCUGAAGGAUCUAUACUAUUUAACCAGAUUUUUGGUGAAAGCCUUGUAAUAACUAAUUAACUGAGCCGCAACAAACCUGACACCUUAAAAAAGGGAUAUGCAAUACGAGAACAUAUGGUACUAGAUGUUACCUAGCAUUGAACAGGUAUUUUCCUAUGAUUAGAUACAAUUUCGAUUUGCCCAUCACUGGAUACGACCAUUUGCUUUAUAAUAUAGUUAUUAUUUUGGUUUGCCUGUAUAGAAUAGGCUGUUUUUACACUGUGUGUCUGAAUGCUAGAAAAAAAAAUCACAGCCUGCUAAACCAUCCCUUUCUCAUCAUAAUGUACACACACAAACAGUAAACGUGCCAUCUUUUCCUGCAUGGUUGAAACCAGAGCCAUUUAUACAGCAUGUGCCAUCUCUUUGUAAUUGACUUAACCCCGUGACCUAGCGGUCGUGACACCUGUGAUACUGAAUAUAGUACAGUUGUAGCAGACCCACGGUGCAGCGUGAUGUCAGCCCCACAUGCAUGACAUCACAACAACACAGGAACACAAAGCAGUGUUGUUACACUCAGGACCAAACAACUCCCAACAGCUGGACCUUUGGUUGUCAGACCUUCAUCAGAGCACACCCUCCAGACCACUACAAACACAACAGGUUAACUAUUCUCUGGUAAUAAGCGGCCCGUCCAUGGACACAAGGGCAUGAGGAACACAGGUUGGCUUCAAAACACAGAGGCUGUGGAUAUAUGGGUUACGGGUUGGGACCUGGAGGUGGCGUUGGGUCGAUACCAGGUGUGGAGCUGAGGGUGGUGUUGGGUCGAUACCAGGUGUGGAGCUGAGGGUGGUGUUGGGUCGAUACCAGGUGUGGAGCUGAGGGUGGUGUUGGGUCGAUACCAGGUGUGGAGAUGAGGGUGGUGUUGGGAAGGUACAGGGUGUGGAUCUGAGGGUGGUGUUGGGUAGGUAAAGGGGUGUGGAUCUGAGGGUGGUGUUGGGUCGAUACCAGGUGUGGAGCUAACGGUGGUGUUGGGUUGGUACAGGGUGUGGAUCUGAGGGUGGUGUUGGGUCAAUACCAGGUGUGGAGCUGAGGGGGGUGUUGGGUUGGUACAGGUGUGUAUGGAGUAGCUGAUGCUAGAUCUGUGCCUAUUUAAGGACACCUACCUUAGUCUAGGGACUUCCAGUUAGGAACCUCCAGGCUAACAUGGAGGUCUGUCUGGUAGGAGGUGGGGCUGGUAGGAGGUGGGGCUGGUAGUGUUUACAAUACAUAAGCAUGAGAGAAAAAGACCUGAGGCUAACAGCUGCAGCCAGUAAAAACAUAAUAUAGACAGAGCAUAGACAGUGUAGAAAGCUCUGCAAUGUGGCCAAGACUCAGUUGGAAAUACACAUACUCACAAUGAAUAUUGUUUUAUAGGAACACAUGAUAACAUACACAGAGGCUUUGGAUUUACUGAUUUUAUAGGUUUUAUAGUGGCAUUUACUCAAUUAGUGGUCAGACAAUGGUCUGCGCUCUCUUAUUUUGUAGCAAUAAUAUUCACUAUUUGUUAGCUGCUAUUAGGCUGGGCUUAGAGUAUCCUGCUCUUUGAUGUGCAAUACUGGCAGAUGAUUGAUUGACUGUGAGAGAGAGUGGCAGGAAAGAAAAAACUGUGGAAGAGAGAUGAAGAGUGACAAAAGAGUGAAAAGAGAUACACAGCAUUGGAGAAGAGGGGGUGCUCUCUAAAAACGAGUUAACUGCCUUUCUUGACCCAAGCAAAACACACAGGAGUGACCUCUGGGGUUAGCUACUGAUAUCAGUGGUAUUAUCUUACUCUGCCUGUAAGGACAAAGCACACACACACACACAACACAAAUACACACACAGGACAAAUAGCUAACCUGGGGAAAUCAAAUAACAGAGAAUCCAAGCCAUCUCUGUUUCAGUUUCUCAAAGAACUAAUUUGGUGAGGGGGACAGAGAUAUUUUUAUAUGGAUUAAUUGAGGGACGGGCAUAUAUAAGGGAACUGUGGAAAUGUCCAAAAGGUUUAAAAGUUUACAUUAUCUUCAGGAUAUCAGGGUUUUCAGGAUCUGACUUUUUAGAAAGAUAAACUCCUCAAUAAAAUGACAUCUGACAUGUUAUUCUGAACCCUUCUAUUGAUCUUUUUUUGCACUGUAAUAUCAUGGAAAACAUCCACACAAAAAUUUGCACCAACAGAAUGUCUUAUCAAUAUUUUUCCCCUUAUCUACACAGCAUCAUCCACACUUAAAUAGGAUUUGUUUUUUAUGAAAUAAAAUUGUAUUAAAAACGAAGAACUGGAAUAUUAUAAUGUUUAAGCAGUUUUGGAAAUAAUCUAAAUAUAAGCAAUUGGGCAUCUCAAGUGUUUGUGGUAUGUUGCCAGUAUCACACAGUAUAACCUAAGAGGGCCUGGAAUCGUUCUGAGAACAGACCUGUCUGUACACUGCAUUAUUAUUUUUGUCUUUAUCUUGUGAAGUGCCCCAGUACCUGCUGAUGAAAAACACCCCCAUAACAUGAUGCCGCCACCACCAUGCCUCACUGUAAGAAUGGUAAUUCAAGGUGGGCUGAAAGGGGAAUAACAAUGAAUAUUAAGAUUUGUCAAGUUUAUAAAUUGCUUGAAGGAAAUGUUUGACUUGUA
This is a long non-coding RNA of Esox lucius (northern pike), 2859 nucleotides long. The record is from Ensembl. NCBI's taxonomy places the organism in Eukaryota, Metazoa, Chordata, Actinopteri, Esociformes, Esocidae.